UAAUACGAAGGGGGCUAGCGUUGUUCGGAAUCACUGGGCGUAAAGCGCAUGUAGGCGGCCAUUCAAGUCGGGGGUGAAAUCCUGGAGCUCAACUCCAGAACUGCCUUCGAUACUGUCUGGCUCGAGUGUGGAAGAGGUUGGUGGAACUGCGAGUGUAGAGGUGAAAUUCGUAGAUAUUCGCAAGAACACCAGUGGCGAAGGCGGCCAACUGGUCCAUUACUGACGCUGAGAUGCGAAAGCGUGGGGAGCAAACAGGAUUAGAUACCCUGGUAGUCCACGCCGUAAACGAUGAGAGCUAGCUGUUGGGAAGUUUACUUUUCAGUAGCGCAGAUAACUCGAUAAGCUCUCCGCCUGGGGAGUACGGUCGCAAGAUUA
This 375-nucleotide ribosomal RNA is filed under the name uncultured bacterium. RNAcentral describes it as "bacterial SSU rRNA". It matches the Rfam family "Bacterial small subunit ribosomal RNA", at positions 521 to 896 of the family's 1533-position model. The record is from RNAcentral.